UUAGAGUGUUUAAAGCAGGCUCGCGCUUGAAUACAUUAGCAAUGGAAUAAUGAAUAGGACGUUUGAUUCUAUUUUGUUAGGUUUCUAGGAUCGACGUAAUGAUUAAUAGGGAUAGUUGGGGGCAUUAGGUAUUCAAUUGUCAGAGGUGAAAUUCUUGGAUUUAUUGAAGACUAACUACUGCGAAAGCAUUUGCCAAGGAUGUUUUCAUUAAUCAAGAACGAAAGUUAGGGGAUCGAAGACGAUCAGAUACCGUCGUAGUCUUAACCAUAAACUAUGCCGACUAGGGAUCGGAUGAUGUUAAUUAUGACUCAUUCGGCGCCUUACG
This 325-nucleotide ribosomal RNA is filed under the name uncultured Glomus. RNAcentral describes it as "SSU rRNA". It matches the Rfam family "Eukaryotic small subunit ribosomal RNA", at positions 766 to 1092 of the family's 1831-position model. The record is from RNAcentral. Lineage: Eukaryota; Fungi; Glomeromycota; Glomeromycetes; Glomerales; Glomeraceae.